RNAcentral lists this ribosomal RNA (253 nucleotides) under uncultured bacterium. RNAcentral's name for it is "partial 16S ribosomal RNA". It matches the Rfam family "Bacterial small subunit ribosomal RNA", at positions 524 to 776 of the family's 1533-position model. The record is from RNAcentral.
CACGUAGGGCGCAAGCGUUGUCCGGAAUUAUUGGGCGUAAAGAGCUCGUAGGUGGUUUGUUACGUCUGCUGUGAAAACCUAGGGCUUAACCCUGGGCUUGCAGUGGAUACGGGCAGACUAGAGGUAGGUAGGGGAGAAUGGAAUUCCUGGUGUAGCGGUGAAAUGCGCAGAUAUCAGGAGGAACACCGGUGGCGAAGGCGGCUCUCUGGGCCUUACCUGACGCUGAGGAGCGAAAGCUGGGGGAGCGAACAGG